AAGGAAGGAAGCGGCAGCAAAAGGCGGUGAUUCUACAGAGAGAAAGAUGCUCAGGAGUUGGUGCAUGCCCACAUUGCUCCAGCUGUGACCAGGACAAGCCCUGCCCCCAAAACUAUGGGGAGGAAAGAGACUCCAUCUGCUGUCCCUGCCAAGAGACCUCGCCACCAACAGCCAUGAGGAAAGAGACUCUCUCUGGCUCUGGGAAGACAGAAGUGAACCACUGUACAUACCCAGCUGUUGAAUUCCCCAACUGCAAACCUGAGCGGACGCAAAUGCUUCCAGGGGCUACACGUGAUUGACAGUGAGGCUGCCCUGGGGUUGGCCCCAGAGCUGGUUGCUGCUCUGAUUGGUGGGCACUCUUCCUCAACUUGUCAUCUCUCUGUGGAUGACGAGUCAGAGGCUUUCUUCUUGGUUCCUCUUGAAUCUAGUCGUUAACACGACCAUCUUUGCUAAAGUAGGUUGGCUGAAGUCAUCAACUUCCAGAGACCCAAGGAUCCAAAUAAUUAAAUGACUGCUCACGGAAACUGAACUCGCUGGUGUCUCUGGUUAACAAACGACACACCUCAUAGCCAAAGAGGAGAUGAUACAUAAUCUACAAUGAGGGUCUGGAUGCCUUUAGAAGACACAAAAUUGGAGGUCAUUAGAAAAGAAAGACUGUUGUCAUGGUG
This is a long non-coding RNA of Mus musculus (house mouse), 668 nucleotides long. RefSeq annotates it as predicted gene, 31117. Lineage: Eukaryota; Metazoa; Chordata; Mammalia; Rodentia; Muridae. The record is from RefSeq and is a predicted model, not a curated record. The transcript is spliced from 3 exons.